GACGAACGCUGGCGGCGUGGAUUAGGCAUGCAAGUCGAACGGUAUCAUCCUUUCGGGGGUGAGAGAGUGGCGAACUGGUGAGUAACACGUAGGUUAUCUACCCUCAAGACGGGGACAACCCAGGGAAACUUGGGCUAAUACCGGAUGUGAGCAACUUUUAGUUGUUUGAAAGGUGGCGUAAGCUGUCGCUUGGGGAUGAGCCUGCGUCCUAUUAGUUAGUUGGUGAGGUAACGGCUCACCUAGGCAAUGAUAGGUAGGCGGCCUUAACGGGUGGUCGCCCACACUGGGAUUGAGAUACGGCCCAGACUCCUACGGGAGGCAGCAGUGGGGAAUAUUGCGCAAUGGGGGGAACCCUGACGCAGCAACGCCGCGUGAAGGAGAAGGCCUUCGGGUUGUAAACUUCUUUUCUGUCAGAAGAAUAAGCUUGUCGAGACGAGUGAUGCCGGUAUGACAGGGAAUAAGCAUCGGCUAACUCCGUG
Molecule: ribosomal RNA, 479 nt
Filed under: uncultured bacterium
Lineage: Bacteria
Description: bacterial SSU rRNA
Rfam family: Bacterial small subunit ribosomal RNA
Source: RNAcentral